RNAcentral lists this long non-coding RNA (5467 nucleotides) under Triticum aestivum (bread wheat). RNAcentral describes it as "long non-coding RNA (TAES_LNC001679)". The stretch from base 4905 to 5018 matches the Rfam family "MIR1120/MIR1122 microRNA precursor family". Lineage: Eukaryota; Viridiplantae; Streptophyta; Magnoliopsida; Poales; Poaceae. The record is from RNAcentral.
CCACACAUACCAAGCAUUUCAAUCAUACACACAAUAUGCUCGAUAUGUGCAAAUACAACAUGGCAUCACAACAAAACUCUACAACUCAAGUACUUUAUUUAAAGGCUCCAGAGAGCCAUACAUAACAUGUUCAUACAGGUAGGGGUCACAUGACUCGACACUCAAGUCAUACAAGCAUACAAGCACAUGCGGAAGCAAAUAGUCUGAGUACAGACACUAGAAAGAAAGAAGGCUUCUCGAAGCCUGUCUAUCUACAUAGGGCCCUCCAUGGCCAGGAUCACCACCUGGGUGGCAAGUCACUCAUCGACACUGAGAUCUACAUAAAACCCAUCGGAGGGGGCGGUGUUGUCGUCUGAAAGCAGUAAUUAAAGCAAACAUGAGUACAAAGGUACUCAGCAAGUCUUACAUCAGAACCUACAAUACAUGCUCAUUCUCAAGAAGGUGGUGGAGUUAUUGCAGCAAGCCAGCUUUGACUCUUGGCUAAACUAUCCUACGAGACACCACUAGUAAAAUAGUUUUCACACACGAGUCCACUAAUCACCAACACAAUACUCCACCGGGGAUCCUCCCUCGUCAUCCUACAAGAGAGCCAUCCUCGAUACUCACACUUAUCUUGAGUCUUUUAGUAGUAACCAUUAACUUGUCUAUGAACUGUAUAGGCAACCAAGUAGUCCUUUACCGCAGACGCGGCUAUUCGAAUAGUUUUAUACCCUGCAGGGGUGUACUUCGUCACACAUGUUUCCACCACUUAGCGUCUGCACAAGACAUGUUCUCGGCAGACUUCAAGCGAAAGCCGACGUGGGUGUAGACCACAACCUGACUAACUACACAAGUCUCUAGUCUAGGUUUAUCGCCUAUUCGGGUUCCAUCCGCAAGGAAAUCCGGCCAGGGUGUCCUCAACAGCUCCGAACGAUGUGUGUAGGGUUCCCGAGAUACCAAACGGGCGACUCGGUACACCGUGCCACGGUGUAUCUACCGCAUCAUAGCCCACCCCUAGGGUCAGCACUACGCACGGCCGCCAACGCAUAACCUACAAACACCAGAAACUAGUUGCAACUCCUGGACAGAGGACGAGAGGGGUCAGUAAGUUGAGCGGGGUCAUAUUUCAGGGCCCAAUGUAUGGUAGUAGCUGAAUCUUAAAUCACGCAUACAGAUCUCAGUUCUUAUGGACGGCCUCAAUGAAACAACCCACCAUGUACUCCUACAUGGCCUCUCAUCGAUACCUUUACCAAAACAUGUUCAACACAUCCCUCACAUUACCAACAUAAUCAUUUCACUCUAGCUCAUCACCCAGAUGAACCAGACCUGACACAACGCAAAGCAUAGCAGGCAUAGCAAGGUAGGAAACACAUACAUGGCUCAAUCAACUCCUACACAUGCUAGUGGGUUUCAUCUAGUUACUAUGGCAAUGACAGGUCAUGCAGAGGAUAAGGGUUCAACUACCGUAGCACACAGCAGUUUGAAACAUUGUUGUCUUAAUGAAGUAAAUGAGAGUAGAGGCGAGAACAUGGGAUUGUAUCGAUAUGAUCAAUGGGGAUGCUUGCCUGAUGGAGUGGUAGUAGGGUACUGCCCUUCAGUUGGAUACUCGGAGAUAUCCUCGGAGGUAGAACCUACCACGAAGGACACACAGAACAUAAUGAACACAUGGCAAUAUGCAACAAUGUGAUGCAUGCUAUGACAUGGCAAAAUGAUGUGUCCUGCCUAAUGCAAUGUGAAACAAGUUGAAAUGGUUCCAUUUGAAUCAAAGAUUCAAAUGAAAGCUUAAGCUCUUAUGCAUAAUAAGUGUAUUAGCUUGUUUCACCUAAACAUCAAGGUUAAAGUGUUUUGUCAUGCAUGAAACCAUUAGAUAUGGAUAGAUUGAAUUUUUCUGAUCAUUUUUCAUAUAUAAUUUGUUUGAUUUGGAGCUAUGGUUAAUUUUUUAUGAUUUUUAGAAGUUUAGGCUAUUUUCUGGAAUUUCCUAUAUAAAAAUAAAUCCAGAAAAUGAAUAAUUGCAUCAGCACUGCAUCACAGUGACGUCAGGGAGUCAAAGGCGCCAGGGGCCAGUCAAACCUGACCAGUGGGGCCCACUGGUCAGUGACUCUGUGCACUAACUACGUUUAGUUAGCCUAAUUAACUGGGCAGGGCCCACUAGUCAGUGACUAUACUAAUUAAACUAACCUAGUUAGUUAGCACUAACAGAGUAAUUAGUCGGGCGGGGCCCGCAUGUCAGUGAGAUAGAGGGGGAGGUCAACCCGUGUUAGUAGAGUCAACCUCGCCGGUCAGCGGGUCAAAGCCCGCCGGCGUUUAGCUGCCGGCGAGGCCAGACGCGGCGGCGCGCUGCGGGAAUCGCCCACAUGGCACCAUUUGAUGCGCGGAGAGCAGCUACGGGCAGCUGGUGCUCGCCCGCAUCCAGCCAUGGUGAUGGCUUGGCCGGGGAGUGGCCGGAGCAUCGCCGGCGACGAGCUUGGCGGAGGCCGAAGCUCGGGUCAGCUCGUGCGCGUGGCUGCAGUGGCCUAGGCGAUUCAGCGAAAGCGCCUACCGCAUCUACGCAGCGUGGGGAGUGUGACGGGCACAAGCCCGUGACCAAAUGGUCACCGGAGCAUCGCCGACGACGUGGUCAGGCAGCGGCGCAUUCGGGCACAAGAGGCGCGGCGUCUACGGUAUUCUAGGGGCAAAACGGAAAGCACGGGGAGGUUCAGUAGCUCACAGGGAAGCCGCAUGGAGGGUCAGUGUGCUCGGGGAAGCUCGGGUGCGGCGGAUCGACGAUGACGAUCAACGGCGGCCAAAGGUUGAAGACGAUGGUGGCGGGGACGAUGCAGGGGCUCCGGCGUCGUGCAGUUCGGCUGGUCGACGUAGUCGACGACGGCGAACCGUCGGGACACGGUGAGAGGGCGCGGGGACGGCGUUGGACGCGGCUGCGGCGAGCAGCGGCGACAGUGACGUCUCGGGCGACAUCGGGGAGGGUGAGAGAGAGGAGCCAGAGGGGAGAGCGAGUGUCUGCGAGGUCGGGGAGAGAGAGGGGGUUCGUCCCACGUCGACAGCUCGACGAGGGGAGCGGCGAGGCGGCGGGCAGCUGCGUGGCACGCAUGCUGUGCUCGCCGUCGAGCAGCUGCUUGCCUGUGCUGGCGAGUGCAAGCAGCUCGCUGGCGCAGGAGGUGGGUUGGGCUAGUAGGUGGGCCGGCUGGUGGGCUUCCAGGUAAGCCUUUCUCUUUCUGCUUUCUGUUUUCUUUUUUUAUUUAUUCUGUAACUUUAGGGCUUUAAUAAAAAUACUAAAACAUUUUCAAAAAUCCUGAAAAUAAUUGUGGGCUCUGUUGGGAUUAUUCCUAACAGCCCUCACUUAAAUCCAGAAUUAUUUGGGCAUUUAAAAUAUUUUAUAGUAUUUAAAUGCCCAAAUUCAAAUACUUAUUAUUUAAUCCAAAAAAUCCAGAAUGUCCUAAAAAAGAGUGCACCAUUUUUCCCAGGGGUUUUAACCCGAACCAGAAAUUAUGAACAUUUUGUGAAGGGCAUUUUGGGUUCGUUGAAACCAAUUUUAGUAAACCCUAGUUGGUUUAAGGGGGUGCUGGGGGUUCUGUCAUCCUCAUUUCACCUUUCUGGAAAAUUUAAACAUGAUGCAAGCACUCUAAUGCAUGAACUAGCUAGGGUGUGACAAUCAAUCAAGCAGGACGUCGGGUAUUACCUCCAUCAAGAGGGCCCGAACCUGGGUAAACAUCGUGUCCCCUGCCUCCUGUUACCAUCCGCCUUAGACGCACAGUUCGGGACCCCCUACCCGAGAUCCGCCGGUUUUGACACCGACAGUGUGACUAGACAAAGAGAGGUUAGCUUGCAGAUUGCAAAAUGCAUGAUCCAGUUAGUAUCACAAAGCAUGUUCAGCAGAAUUUAGAAUUGCAUGUGCUUUCAAUACAACCAAGAAGAAAUUAAUUCAGCAGUUGCACUUGCACAUACACCAUACCAAAGCAAAAGAGAAGUUUUUCAAAAUUGAAGUGUGUGCGGCAUAUUACCAGAAAUGAGAAAGACAUGUUAGUUAGAGUAUUCGUUUUGUAUCAGAUUUUAAUAUAACACCAUACCAUUGCAAACAUGUGACAGCAAUCAACUUUGUGCUUUUUCUAGAUGAAACAAAUAAAGCAUGCCAGCAACUACUUAAUUCAGCAACCCUCUAAUGCCCUGAUUGGAAACUUCGAUUAGAGAGAGUAGUACUAUGUCUAUUGCCCCACAUCAAAUUUUGUGUUUGCAAUGCUAUCAUUCCAGUUGUUGCCCUACAUGAAUAGUAAAAAAGGAAAUUGCUCGAAUUUGUAACCAAAUCAGGGUAGGGGCCAAAGUGAAACAUCUCACCAUCUGAUGAAAAAUUGCUGACAGAUGGUGGAGACCCAAACAGUGGCAAUUGCUUUUGUGCUAGAAAAGUGUUGGAGAAGAAACAGUAAUUUAUUAUGUACUUAUGCAAAGCAGGAUACUCAAAAGACCAACUGAGUGGAUUCUGGAAAGAACGAGACCAUUAUUUACUACUUCCUCCGAUCCAUAAACAAAAGCUGUACUAAAUUAGUCACAACUAAUAGGGAGUGUUUGUUAUGAAAGCAGGAUUACUUUUUUAAGUGAGUGGAUUCUGGAUAGAACGAGACCAUUUGUUUGGCACAAGGAAUUUGUUAGGUCUCAUACUGCCAUAGACCAUUCUUGAACUUGCCAAAGAAAUUAGUACUAGCGCACAGGGACUUGUACAUUGUUAGGUGUGCGCAUGCGAAUUCGUCCUUGUUAAGCAUACAUGGAGAAUUGCAAGGCUAACCGAACGGAAGGAGCAGAAUAGGAACCGUAGGUAGCACCACGCCAAGAAGAGAUUACAUAGAACACGAAUUAAAAUGGACCACUCCUGAAUGGACCAAGAAAUCACUUAGGUCUGGCUGCAUUGAGCCAAGAUAUUAGACUCGUCUUACAAAGAAAUACUCCCUCCGUUCCAAAUUACUCGUCACAGAAAUAAAUGUAUCUAGAACUAAAAUACAUCUAGAUAUAUUCAUAUAUGCGACAAGUAAUUUGGAACGGAGGAGUAAUAAGUAACAAUAAAUUCGAUUCUCAUAUGCAUGUUGCUGUUUAAGAAGAGCCAAACUAGUACUCCUACUAGAAAAGAAAAUUACCAAACAAGAAAGAUUCCUCCCUUCCGCGCCACGGCGACGGCCUCAACGACGGCGGGGAUUACGGCCUCGCCGCCAGUGACCAGCAGUGGGCUGCGCAUCUCCGGGUCUACGAAAUCCUUCUGCAAGCCAUCACCGUUUGCAGCAAUAAUUCACAAGUAGAGUGGAUAGGAAACCCACCAAACAAGAGGAAAAGAGACCCCAAAAUAAGAGAAUUCUUUUACAAGAGGGGAGGAAACCCCACCUGCAUGUCGAUGACGAGCAUGGUCGUCUCGCUCCACUUGGCGGCGGCCGCCAUGGAUCGCUGCGACUUGAAGCGGCUGGUCGGGAUCCUGGGGAUUAUGGCAGCGACGCCACCUCCGGAGAACCAG